This 497-nucleotide ribosomal RNA is filed under the name uncultured bacterium. RNAcentral's name for it is "partial 16S ribosomal RNA". It matches the Rfam family "Bacterial small subunit ribosomal RNA", at positions 28 to 507 of the family's 1533-position model. The record is from RNAcentral.
GAUGAACGCUGGCGGCGUGCCUAAUACAUGCAAGUCGAGCGAACGGACGAGAAGCUUGCUCCUCUGACGUUAGCGGCGGACGGGUGAGUAACACGUGGAUAACCUACCUAUAAGACUGGGAUAACUUCGGGAAACCGGAGCUAAUACCGGAUAAUAUUUUGAACCGCAUGGUUCAAUAGUGAAAGACGGUCUUGCUGUCACUUAUAGAUGGAUCCGCGCUGCAUUAGCUAGUUGGUAAGGUAACGGCUUACCAAGGCAACGAUGCAUAGCCGACCUGAGAGGGUGAUCGGCCACACUGGAACUGAGACACGGUCCAGACUCCUACGGGAGGCAGCAGUAGGGAAUCUUCCGCAAUGGGCGAAAGCCUGACGGAGCAACGCCGCGUGAGUGAUGAAGGUCUUCGGAUCGUAAAACUCUGUUAUUAGGGAAGAACAAAUGUGUAAGUAACUGUGCACAUCUUGACGGUACCUAAUCAGAAAGCCACGGCUAACUACGUG